UACGGAGGGUGCAAGCGUUAUCCGGAUUCACUGGGUUUAAAGGGUGCGUAGGUGGGUUGGUAAGUCAGUGGUGAAAUCUCCAGGCUUAACUUGGAAACUGCCAUUGAUACUGAGGAUCUUGAGUUCGGGAGAGGUGAGUGGAACUGCGAGUGUAGAGGUGAAAUUCGUAGAUAUUCGCAAGAACACCAGUGGCGAAGGCGGCUCACUGGCCCGAUAC
RNAcentral lists this ribosomal RNA (217 nucleotides) under uncultured prokaryote. Its description in RNAcentral is "partial 16S ribosomal RNA". It matches the Rfam family "Bacterial small subunit ribosomal RNA", at positions 524 to 740 of the family's 1533-position model. The record is from RNAcentral.